CAGAAGUGCCCAUUGAGAUGUCUGGACUCCAGGUAGACUGCUCUGAAAACUCUUCCGGCCUCCCUGUGCAUCCUCUGUUGUGUGAAGGGUUAGAGAGAGGAUGAAUGCUCACCUUUGCUGCCCAGUCACAGCAUUGGGUUUGCAGCUCCUUGGUGGUUUCUCUGCUAUAGUUUGUCUAACGGCAUCAUCAGUUCACUCCUCACAAUAUUUGUCCUGUGCAGGAUCAGGUUUCCCUCUCAAACUGGAGCACAUUCACCAUGUCUGGCACACAACUCUGGAGCUGAGAAGUGUUUUCUGUUUCCUUGUGCCUCUGUUGCCUGCAGGACAGUUUGUACAGAACUGCUGAGCACUUCACCUUGUGGCAGAUGUGGUUUGAAUGUAAUCUAUCUUUCUAUGUUAUUUUUAUUUUAUUGCAUAGCUACUAAGUACAUUUUUAGAGUGCAUGGGCUUUACUGGGACAAAUUACGUGUGCCUGGGUCCUGAGCUGGGGGAAACCCUGCAUUCUGUACCAUCCUGUUGGUUUUAACCACAGAUAGACAAAGCUUUGUGUGUGAUUUGGGAACUACAGAUUGAAAUCUCAUGCUGGAGACAACAUUCUAAUCCUGGAUGGGAUACAUCUAUCACUGUGCUAGGUCAGGUUUUCAAGUAGAGAUGGUAUGAAAGAUUGAAAACCCAUGGAGGAGAUUCAGGAAAGCUGGUCCCUAAACCCAGCCCUUACCCCCUGGGUGCAUUUUGCUGAGGUCUUAGAGCCCAAAAUGCUCCAGGGAUCUCUGCAUGUCAGGGAUAUCUACAUGUGCUGUGGCUGCCACCUUCCUCCUAAAUGCAGCUGGUCACUGAAGCCUUGGAUGGUUGCUCAGAUGUGCUCUGGCAGCAGCAGCACCCACCAGAUCUCCUUUUGUACAGGACAAAGUACUUUGCAAGGUAAGGAGGUGUCAGGGCACUGGGUGGAGUUGGGAAAAGCCAAGCUGCUGUUAACAAGAUCAGGAUAUAUGGGAUGGUCAUGGAGAGACCUGCUGAUCCUAUGGGAAAGCAAGACAUUGCUGAGCAGUUGUUGGAGCUCUUAUUUAUUUAUUUAUUUAUCUAUUUUAAUUUGAGUUGAAGAUCCUGGCUAACUUCUAGGCCCUUUCUCCUGCAAAUAUUUAUUUUUAAAAAAGUAAGAGACUUGGGUAUCUGCCAUGUUCCUUUAUUAAAUUCACUCCCAGAGACUUGUUUUGAUUCAAUCAGCAAUACUUAAUGAGAACUUACCUGAGGGGAACUCAUUCCCUUAAGUCUGGAUCAAUGUCUGAGCCUGGCACAGCCACCGAGGAGCUGGGGUCCCUGUGAAGCCAGUGCUAAUCCUGUCUGGCAGCAGGGGAGCACAGGGGACACUGUGCCAGGUUGUUGUGAGAUGUCUGGGCUGUUAGUGAUGGAGCUGUGAAUUACUCUUGCUCUGUAGGAUUUGCUGGAUGAGCUUUGCCUGGUCACGGGCCAUGUGCUGACUUCAGGGGAGAGCCUGUUUCACCCUUCAGAAACUGAGAUAUAACUAAAUCCCGUCCUGCGUUUCCCUUCACUGACUGCAGCCGACACCAAGCCUUGCACACAGUUGCUAUCUAGUGGCCAGAGGAAGGUAGUGGAUGCGUUUUUCUCCUUCGGUUUUGUGCAAAAGGACUGUGCUACUGAGCUACAGCACAAACUCAUCAGGUGAAGUAGAUUAAGGUCUUCAAGAAAUUAUCAAAUCUGCUUGGCAGAUCUUCUCUGACCAGAGCUCUUG
Molecule: long non-coding RNA, 1750 nt
Organism: Apus apus (common swift)
Lineage: Eukaryota; Metazoa; Chordata; Aves; Apodiformes; Apodidae
Exons: 3
Source: RefSeq, a predicted model, not a curated record